Molecule: unclassified non-coding RNA, 381 nt
Filed under: uncultured bacterium
Lineage: Bacteria
Description: contains 16S-23S intergenic spacer region
Source: RNAcentral
UCCCGGUUAACCCGGGCAGUCUCACUAGAGUCCCCACCUUGACGUGCUGGUAACUAGUGAUAAGGGUUGCGCUCGUUGCGGGACUUAACCCAACACCUCACGGCACGAGCUGACGACAGCCAUGCAGCACCUAUGUAGCAGUCCCUUGCGGGAAAAUCCACUUUCAUGGACGGUCUCCUACAGUUCAAUCCUGGGUAAGGUUCUUCGCGUUGCAUCGAAUUAAACCACAUGCUCCACUGCUUGUGCGGGCCCCCGUCAAUUCUUUUGAGUUUCAACCUUGCGGCCGUACUCCUCAGGCGGUAUACUUAUCGCGUUAGCUUCGACACAGUAGGGGUUGAGCCCUUACUACAUCAAGUAUACAUCGUUUACAGCGUGGACUAC